CCAUACCCAACUUUGAAGACGAUCCCUAACAGGAUUACAGUCGUCCACCAGCAGGCAGAGGCAGAGGCAAGCUAGGCAGAAAAACAAGGUCAUGCUGCCUUUUUUUUUUUUUUUUUUUUUUUGGUAAGCACAGGAAUCAACAAAGAGAUGUUAUAUAACUUCUAUUUAUAUCCUACUUGCUCACUAGCUGCAGGCACACACGAGUAGCUGAGGAGGGAAUUUAAUGAGCUCUCAGGGCUUGCUCACCUUCCAGAGCUGGUAGGAGCCAGCUUGUUUUUGAAGUGCGUCAGCAAAUGAAACUGGUGGUGGGUGGGUGGUUUGGGUAGGUGGACUGACUUGUUGCUAUGGUUUUCUUUAAUUCCUCUGUCUCUCAA
Molecule: small RNA, 374 nt
Filed under: Coturnix japonica (Japanese quail)
Lineage: Eukaryota; Metazoa; Chordata; Aves; Galliformes; Phasianidae
Description: sRNA (ENSCJPG00005020531.1)
Source: RNAcentral